AAAAUGCCCCCGUAACUUCGGGAGAAGGGGGGCCGGAUGCGUUACAUGGCUUGCCCAUGGAAGCGUUGAUGGCCGCAGAGACCAGGCCCAAGCGACUGUUUACUAAAAACACAGGUCCGUGCGAAGAAGUAAUUCGAUGUAUACGGACUGACGCCUGCCCGGUGCUGGAACGUUAAGGGGACAGGUUAGCUGGUUUAGGCCGGCGAAGCUUUGAACUUAAGCGCCAGUAAACGGCGGUGGUAACUAUAACCAUCCUAAGGUAGCGAAAUUCCUUGUCGGGUAAGUUCCGACCUGCACGAAUGGCGUAACGACUUGGGCGCUGUCUCAACCAUGGACUCGGCGAAAUUGCAUUACGAGUAAAGAUGCUCGUUACGCGCAGCAGGACGGAAAGACCCCGGGACCUUUACUACAACUUGGUAUUGGUGGUCGGUACAACUUGUGUAGGAUAGGUGGGAGACUGUGAAAUCUGGACGCCAGUUCGGGUGGAGUCAUCGUUGAAAUACCACUCUGGUUGUUCUGGCUGUCUAACUUCGGUCCAUUAUCUGGAUCAGGGACAGUGCCUGGUGGGUAGUUUGACUGGGGCGGUCGCCUCCUAAAAGGUAACGGAGGCGCUCAAAGGUUCCCUCAGCCUGGUUGGCAAUCAGGUGUCGAGUGUAAGUGCACAAGGGAGCUUGACUGUGAGACAGACAUGUCGAGCAGGGACGAAAGUCGGAACUAGUGAUCCGGCGGUGGCAUGUGGGAGCACCGUCGCUCAACGGAUAAAAGGUACCCCGGGGAUAACAGGCUGAUCUUCCCCAAGAGUCCAUAUCGACGGGAUGGUUUGGCACCUCGAUGUCGGCUCGUCGCAUCCUGGGGCUGGAGUAGGUCCCAAGGGUUGGGCUGUUCGCCCAUUAAAGCGGCACGCGAGCUGGGUUUAGAACGUCGUGAGACAGUUCGGUCCCUAUCCGCUGCGCGCGCAGGAGACUUGAGAAGGGCUGCCCCUAGUACGAGAGGACCGGGGUGGACGAACCUCUGGUGUGCCAGUUGUUCCGCCAGGAGCACGGCUGGUUGGCUACGUUCGGGAGUGAUAACCGCUGAAAGCAUCUAAGCGAGAAGCACGCUUCAAGAUGAGGUCUCCCACCGAGUUAAUCGGGUAAGGCCCCCAGUAGACCACUGGGUUGAUAGGCCAGAGGUGGAAGCGCCGUAAGGUGUGGAGCUGACUGGUACUAAUAGGCCGAGGGCUUGUCUCU
RNAcentral lists this ribosomal RNA (1229 nucleotides) under metagenome. Its description in RNAcentral is "bacterial LSU rRNA". It matches the Rfam family "Bacterial large subunit ribosomal RNA", at positions 1719 to 2925 of the family's 2925-position model. The record is from RNAcentral.